GAUGAACGCUGGCGGCGUGCUUAACACAUGCAAGUCGAGCGAACGGACGAGAAGCCUGCUUGUCUGAUGUUAGCGGCGGACGGGUGAGUAACACGUGGAUAACCUACCUAUAAGACAGGGAUAACUUCGGGAACUCGGAGCUCAUACCGGAUACUAUUUUGAACCGCAUGGUUCAAAAGUGAAAGACGGUCUUGCUGUCACUUAUAGAUGGAUCCGCGCUGCAUUAGCUAGUUGGUAAGGUAAAGGCUUACCAAGGCAACGAUGCAUAGCCGACCUGAGAGGGUGAUCGGCCACACUGGAACUGAGACACGGUCCAGACUCCUACGGGAGGCAGCAGUAGGGAAUCUUGCGCAAUGGGCGAAAGCCUGACGGAGCAACGCCGCGUGAGUGAUGAAGGUCUUCGGAUCGUAAAACUCUGUUAUUAGGGAAGAACAGAUAUGUAAGUAAAUGUGCAGAUCUUGACGGUACCUGAUCAAAAAGCCACGGCUAACUACGUG
Molecule: ribosomal RNA, 497 nt
Filed under: uncultured bacterium
Lineage: Bacteria
Description: partial 16S ribosomal RNA
Rfam family: Bacterial small subunit ribosomal RNA
Source: RNAcentral